Long non-coding RNA from Triticum dicoccoides, 1504 nucleotides. RefSeq lists it as uncharacterized. The record is from RefSeq and is a predicted model, not a curated record. NCBI's taxonomy places the organism in Eukaryota, Viridiplantae, Streptophyta, Magnoliopsida, Poales, Poaceae. The transcript is spliced from 3 exons.
GCCGUGGAACAGUUCGUCAAUACGUGUGACGGCCGUCCGCGGCGCCUACCGGACGUCAUGUGCGUACGGUUCGGCUCGAGAGAGGUCAGCCACCAAAUCCUCCUGACUAGGUCGUUCUUGAAGCCCGCCGCCACCGCGAAAGGCUUGCCCAGAUCCAGCGCGGUACGGCGAGCUUAGGGAGCCCCGGCCGGUGAGCGAUGGAAGAUGCUAGGCUCGAGUUCCUGCUUGAUGCAGUGGGCAGGAUUCCGCUCCGUGAAGCGUUCGCGGACAGUGUAGAUCAUCCUGAUCCGGUCCCUCUGGCGGUGCUCCCGCGAGCUGAUGUCGCCCCUACUGCUCAGGUGGACUCAAAUGGCUGCUUAGGUUGCGGGCAAAACUGUUGGGUGCGCAGUCGCGGGGGAGCCGCAGGCAAUCAAUGGCGACAAGGUCUGCUCAAUCAACGGACAGGGUGAACCCGAGGCUCCGGCUUAGGCAAAAAGUUCAGAAGUUACUAAACUACAAGACUAUUCAGCGCUGGCACAAGAGGUGGUGAGGAAUAGCGACUACGACGAGCAAAGACGCGGUGCAGCCGGCAACAACGACUGUCGCCUGCUCUCUGGUAAGGCCUCCAUCUUUUAUCUCUUUUUGUGUCACUUUGAACUAUACACAAGUGCAAACUAGUUCGGCUCAAGAAAAGUAUAAACAAGACACAACCCUCUUAACAAUGCCUUGCUGCUGUAAGUAGCUGAAGCCUUCCUGGCACUUGAUUCAGCAGAUUCUCAAUUUCUCGUCAGUUGUUUUCUUCUUUCUUGUAUCACCGCCCUCCCGCGUGCAACGGAAGACGACGAACAGUUUGAUGGUUUUUUUUUGUCUUUCUCAGCUGUUGUUAUAUCUUAAUUAGGAAUUCACUUUUCAUUUAGCGUUAAUAUGGAUACGAGAGUGGAUCAAACUAGGAGUAAUCUGCUGCUUCUUAAUGUUGGAUAAUUGGAUCGAGAUUCACCCUCUCUAAUCAUUAUUAGCUUGCCAUAUUCUUGAACCUCAACAAGUCAUGAAGAAUCCCAUACUUCUUUCCAGUUUAAUAUUGGCAAUUCACCCUUGUUGUUUGCAUAUCGCUAAUCCGUUGCGGAAUUAUCAAAUUGUCUAAAUUUUCUCUUCCAGUACAAUGUUUCCUUUUUGUUUCCAACUUUAUGAAUUCAUAGUAACUUUACUGAUUUGGAUGAGCUGAGGAUGAAAGAAGAGAUCAGUGCUGCCACAUGGUGCUUCCCAUUCGAGCAAUUGCGGUGUGUAGAAAUGCUUUAUGACUUGCAUUCCAGCCGAUGAACUAUGGUUGUAUUGUCGCAUUAGGCCACAUUUUUGUCCUGUCAGAUAUCAGUGUAUUUUUAUUUAUAUUUGCAAUUAUUUCACUCUUUUUUCUCAAUUUAUAUUUGGUCUAUAUGGACCACGGACAAUCAGUUUGGAUGCUUAUACGCCAUCAGUUUGGAUGGCAAAACAGCACAAAACGUGAUUGUGCUUAAAGUUUUCGUUGUCA